UAUUAAAACAAAAAAAAAAGGCAACAGGAUACGAAAAACAAAAGUAACGUUUAUUUUUUACUGAUCAAAGGGUCACGGCAAUAAAAACCUUUUUACCAUAAACUGAAAGGAAAUAUUUACAGCGGAGGCUCCCUCUCGAAAUGUAAAUAGGAUGAAAUUGUGGCUGUAUUGGUCAAAGGGUAAGAGGCGCGAAAUCUCUAUCUAUUUUGUUCAAUACCUUGUAGUACAUCAGCUUCUGUAUAGGGCGGCGAGUUUAUCGAUAAAUAUAAAAAAAAAAACAUUUUAAUGACAACAACUUUCAUUCUUAUGUCACACAUGUAAACUCUAUUGUCAUUAAACUUGAUAGGAAUCAUUCAUUCUGGACUAUUGUUAGCAUCUGAUGGCCCAAGAUACUUGAUUGUAUUGUUGAUCUAAAGAAGAUAGGGAUAAAGAAGGGUAGGCAAGAAGUUUAUUAACAAGAGGCGUUUUAAACCAUGCUCUGCGCCCACGGCAGGAUGAAUUUGUUUUAUCAAUAUAAUGUGGAUAUUCAAUUCAAUUCAAUAAUUUAUCUAAUUAAAAAGUCAAAAUAAAGGAAAAACAUUGUUAUAUUUCUUCCACAUAAUAAUUACAAGAAUGACUAUGCGCCAAUGGACCAAUGCUAGGCAAAACAAUUCAACACUAUGUUCAAAAACUAUCGUUUCACAGCCUAUAAUUCUCUGUGUUCAAGAUACAAUGAUCCGUAUUACAAUUGCAUAAGAGGUAAAAUACAGAUAAAAUUAUUAACUGAA
Long non-coding RNA from Bombyx mori (domestic silkworm), 767 nucleotides. RefSeq lists it as uncharacterized. NCBI's taxonomy places the organism in Eukaryota, Metazoa, Arthropoda, Insecta, Lepidoptera, Bombycidae. The record is from RefSeq and is a predicted model, not a curated record. The transcript has 2 exons.